AACGAACGCUGGCGGCGUGCCUGACACAUGCAAGUCGCACGAGAAAGUCUUCGGAUGAGUACAGUGGCGCACGGGUGAGUAAUACGUAGGAACGUACCAUUAAGUGGGGGAUAACCACGGGAAACUGUGGCUAAUACCGCAUACUGUCGUGAGAAGAAAGGUGGCCGCUAUUUAUAAGCUAUUGCUUAAUGCGCGGCCUACGUCCCAUUAGCUAGUUGGCGGGGUAAAAGCCCACCAAGGCGACGAUGGGUAGCUGGUCUGAGAGGAUGAUCAGCCACACUGGAACUGAGACACGGUCCAGACUCCUACGGGAGGCAGCAGUGGGGAAUCUUGCACAAUGGGCGAAAGCCUGAUGCAGCAACGCCGCGUGGGUGAAGAAGGCCUUUGGGUCGUAAAGCUCUUUCGGCCAAGAAGAAGGGCCCAUACGCUAAUAUCUUAUGGGUUUGACGGUAUUGGAAGAAGAAGCACCGGCUAACUUCGUGCCAGCAGCCGCGGUAA
Molecule: ribosomal RNA, 498 nt
Filed under: uncultured bacterium
Lineage: Bacteria
Description: partial 16S ribosomal RNA
Rfam family: Bacterial small subunit ribosomal RNA
Source: RNAcentral